CCGCGGUAUUUUGACCGUGCUAAGGUAGCAUAAUCAUUAGUUUUUUAAUUGAAAGCUGGAAUGAAGGGUUGGAUGAAAAAAAAACUGUCUCUAUUUAAAAUUAAAAUUUUAUUUUUAAGUUAAAAAGCUUAAAUUUUUUUAAAAGACGAGAAGACCCUAUAGAGUUUUAUAAAUUAAGAGAUUUAAAUAUUUAGAAUUUUAUUAUUUAAAUUAAUUUGUUUAUUUAAUUGGGGUGAUUAAAAAAUUUAAAGAACUUUUUUUAUUAGUACAUAUAUAUAUAAAUAGAUAUUUGAGCCAUUUUUAAUGAUUAUAAGAUUAAAUUACCUUAGGGAUAACAGCGUAAUUUUAUUGGAGAGUU
RNAcentral lists this ribosomal RNA (358 nucleotides) under Sermylassa halensis. RNAcentral describes it as "partial 16S ribosomal RNA". Lineage: Eukaryota; Metazoa; Arthropoda; Insecta; Coleoptera; Chrysomelidae. The record is from RNAcentral.